UGGGGAAUAUUGCACAAUGGGCGCAAGCCUGAUGCAGCCAUGCCGCGUGUGUGAAGAAGGCCUUCGGGUUGUAAAGCACUUUCAGCGGGGAGGAAGGCGGUGAGGUUAAUAACCUCAUCGAUUGACGUUACCCGCAGAAGAAGCACCGGCUAACUCCGUGCCAGCAGCCGCGGUAAUACGGAGGGUGCAAGCGUUAAUCGGAAUUACUGGGCGUAAAGCGCACGCAGGCGGUCUGUCAAGUCGGAUGUGAAAUCCCCGGGCUCAACCUGGGAACUGCAUUCGAAACUGGCAGGCUAGAGUCUUGUAGAGGGGGGUAGAAUUCCAGGUGUAGCGGUGAAAUGCGUAGAGAUCUGGAGGAAUACCGGUGGGGAAGGCGGCCCCCUGGACAAAGACUGACGCUCAGGUGGGAAAGCGUGGGGAGCAAACAGG
This 429-nucleotide ribosomal RNA is filed under the name Chloroflexota bacterium. Its description in RNAcentral is "Chloroflexi bacterium partial 16S ribosomal RNA". It matches the Rfam family "Bacterial small subunit ribosomal RNA", at positions 355 to 776 of the family's 1533-position model. Lineage: Bacteria; Bacillati; Chloroflexota. The record is from RNAcentral.